UUUUCCAUGAACUUUUUGAAGACCACUCCUGCAAUAAUAAAACAUUGAACUUCAUUUAAAGCUAAAAUUCCCUUCUCUUCCACUUCUGACUAUGAGGCAGCAACUGCUAUCAGACCAAACCUUUCCCAAGAACUAUCAAGGCCAUAUAAAAUAUAUUUUUAAAAAGAGCUUUUUGCAUCCUGGCUAAAACAGUGAAACCCCGUCUCUACUAAAAAUACAAAAAAUUAGCUGGGUGUGGUGGUGGGCGUCUGUAGUCCCAGCUACUCUGGAGGCUGAGGCAGGAGAAUGGCGUGAACCUGGGAGGCAGAGGUUGCAGUAAGCCGAGAUCGUGCCACUGCACUCCAGCCUGGGCGACAGAGCAAGACUCUGUCUCAAAAAAAAAAAAAAAAAAAAAAAAACUUUUUGAAGACAUCAGAGAGUAAGACAGCCAGGAUUUGAAGAAACAAAAUCCUAGUAAGAUGAGACUUGCAUAAAGGUGAGUCCUGUGUUCACAACAUUUUUUCCUGUUGGGCCAUUUGCUGGUGUCCUGCCCUAAGGCCUGACAGAAGGUGGCAACCAGAGCUGGCGUGGUGUCACUGGGCUGGGAGACCGGCAGCAACACACAAGCUGUCAUGUUGGCCAGGAUGCCAGGAGCCUCAGAGAAGUGGCCGAAUUCCCAGUGUGCAGCUUCCCCUGCAGCAGGUGCCUAUUCCUGGUUGCUGCUUGUGCUUGAGGCAAGAGGCUUGGAAACCCAAAUAUAGCAGCAAAAGGCUGGAAAGCUGAGACAUCUUUGGGCAAGGGAGACAAAACUUGGGACUUCAGUGCCUGCCAUUGAGAAAACUCUGAGGUUUCCAGGUGAGUCCCCUGAAGGGCAAACUGGAGAGGGACCAACCCUCACCAAGUCUGGACAUGGCUUGAGCCAUCUCAGCCUUGAUUGCAUCAGGGCGAUCUGCCUCACCUUUCUGCUAGAGGAAAACUAAAUUUUCUUUCAAUGAAAACAUCAGAGCUCCUAUAACUUUACAGAUAAACAGUUUGACUCUCAUAAAAAAAUUAUGAGACACACUGAAAAAAAGGACUAAGUGACUGAAAAGAGAAUCAUAAGACAAUAGAAAUAGUCUCACAGGUGAUCCAAAUACUGGAGUUUUCAGACACGGACUUUAUGAUUUAUACAUUCAAUAAUAUGGAUGAGAAGGUGGAGAAUGCCACCAGAGAGAAUCUGUAAACGUGCUAAUGCUGAAAAACACAACGAUGAAUGAAGAAUUCCCUAGAUGUAGUUAGUACCAAAUUAGGCUUAUAGAUGAAAGGAUUACUGAAUUGGAAGACAAGCCAGUAGAAAACAUUCAUCUUGAAGUACAGAGAGAUGAAAAGUGCCUGAGAGACACAGCGCAAGAGAAAAGACUAGCACACAGCUGACGGGAGUCCCAGAAGAGGAGAGAGAAGGGGUGGAGCGCCAUUUGGAUGAGAUCACAGCUGAGGACUUUCCAGAACUGUUGGGACAUCAGCCAUAGGUGUCAAUAUCUUUGAACCCCAAUGAGGAUAAAUUGAAAAUAACAACCUGCACCUAGGCACAUCAUGGCAAAGUGCUGAAACCCAAAGAGAAAGAGACAACCUUAAGCAGAGGGAGGGAGGAGAGACACUUUUACCUUCAGAGGAGCAAUAAAGCUGGCAGCUGACUCUCUAAAACAAAUAGUUGGAAUGGUGGAGUGGCUUUUUUUAAAUGCUGAAAGGAAAUAAUUACCAAUCUAGAUUUAUAUACCCAGUGAGAAGAUUCCUCAAAAGUGAGGAUGAACUUAAGUUUUUGGACAAAACAAAAAAUUGCAGAAACUUGUCACCAGCCAACCAGCCCUAAAAUAUAUCCUGGAGGGAAUUCUCCAGGUGGACACUUGAUGUGGGAAGGAACAAGGAAUACUCCUGAAAGGAGCAGAAACGGGAAAGCUAAAUAAAUAAUAGACUGCCUAAAACUAUCUCUUAGAGUUCAAAAUACAGGUAGACUUAAGAUACAUGGACAGUAAGGACAAAAGGUGGGAGGGAAAUAAAGGAUUGCACCAUCCUGCAAGGGGUGAAAGUAUGGAUUUCAAGUAGAUUCUGGGCCAGGUGCAGUGGCUCACACCUGUAAUCCCAGCACUUUGGGAGGCCAAGGCAGGCGGAUCACCUGAGGUCAGGAAUUUGAGACCAGCCUGGCCAACAUGAUGAAACCCCGUCUUUACUGAAAAAACAAAAAAUUAACUGGGCCUGGUGACGCAUGCCUGUAAUCCCAGCUACUCGGGAGGUUGAGGCACGAGAAUUGCUUGAACCCAGGAGGCGGAGGUUGCAGUGAGCCGAGAUGGCACCACUGCAUUCUAGCCUGGGCGACAGAGCAAGACUUCAUCUCAAAAAAAAUAAUAAAGUAGAUUCUGACAUCAGACGUGAUCUCUAGGGUAACCGCUAAAAGCAAUAAACAUGUUGAUGAAACUGGACUAAUACCUACUUUCACUAAUCCCAAAGAAGGUAAGAAAGGAAAAAUAACCAGAUGGGACACAUAGGAAACAGAGGCAAAUGGUAGCUUUAAACCAAAUGUGUCAGCAAGCAUAUUAAAUGUAAGUGGAAUGCAAACUCCAAUUAAGUGUGUUAGAUUGGAUAGACAAAACCCAGCUAUGUUCAUUCACAGGCUUCACAUAUCGAGUCCAAGGAUGCAGAGUGAAUGCGAGAGGCCAGAAGCCAGGGCACCACCCACACAUCUGCUACAGCUGUUCACAUCUGACAGCACGGCCUCAGGCAGGAGGACUCAUUAGAGAUGGAGGGACAGCUCAGUGACCAAGUGGUGAGGUUAAUGGGAUGACACAACAAUGCUAAACAUAAAAGCACCAAAGAACACAACUCCAAAAUGUGACUGGAACAGAAAGAACUAAGAGGAGAAAUAGACAAUCACAGUGAGAGAUCUGAACACUUGCCUCAGCAGCAAAUAAAGGCUCUGUGGCUGUAUUCAGUAUUUUAUCACCAUAAAAAUUCUCAUUGGAGCUUCUGAGUUGAGAGGCAGAGGCAUUUGCAGGGGUAAGUCUUCCCAUCCUCCUGCUCUAACAUCCACUCGCUUCAUUCUAGUCGUUUCUCGUUAGGGUCCUUUGUAGGGAUUUUGUAAUUUUGGUUGGAUUUGUGACAGGGAAUUUUAUUCUGCUUCAUUUUAAAAGUGGGCCAGUCAAAAAAAAAAACAAUUCCUCAAUGCUCCACCUACUCAUCCUAUCCUCCCUGCCAGCCCCGGUCUUUUUUGUCUCCAUAAUUUUUCCUUUUCUAAAAUAUCAAAUAGUUGGACUCAUACAGUAUGUAGCCUUUUCAGACUGGCUUCAUUCACUAAUAUGCAUUUAAGAUUCCCUCAUGUCUUUCUAUGGGCUAGUCAUUCACUUAUUUUUAGCACUGAAUAACAGACAUGCCACAGUUUAUCCAUUCACCUACUGAAGGGCAUCUUGGUUGUUUUCAAGGUUUGGCAAUUAUGAAUACACCUGCUAUGAAUAUCCUUGUACGAGCUUUUGUGUGGACGUAAGUUUUCAACUCCCUUGAGUAGAUACUGAGGAGCUUGAUUGCUGGAUCACAGGGUAAGAGUAUGCUUAGUUCUGUACGAAGCUGCCAAACUGUCUUCCAAAGCAGCUACACUGGUUUGCAUUCACGCCAGCAAUGAAUGAGUUCCUGUUGCUCCACAUCCGCACCAGCACUUGGCAUUAUCCAUUUUGGAUUUUGGCCAUCCUAACAAGUGCGUAGUGGUGUCUCAUUUUUGUUUUAAUUUGCAAUUCCCUAAUGACCAUAUAAUGAGGAGCAUUUUUGUAUAUGCUCAAUUGCCAUCUGCGUAUCUUCUUUGGUGAGGGGUCUAUUCAGAUCUUUUGCCCAUGUUUUCUUUUUUUUUUUUU
RNAcentral lists this long non-coding RNA (3854 nucleotides) under Homo sapiens (human). RNAcentral describes it as "HSALNT0406716". Lineage: Eukaryota; Metazoa; Chordata; Mammalia; Primates; Hominidae. The record is from RNAcentral.